GAUGAACGCUGGCGGCGUGCCUAAUACAUGCAAGUCGAGCGAACGGACGAGAAGCCUGCUUCUCUGAUGUUAGCGGCGGAUGGGUGAGUAACAUGUGGAUAACCUACCUAUAAGACUGGGAUAACUUCGGGAAACCGGACCUAAUACCGGCUCAUAUUUUGAACCGCUUGGUUCAAAAGUGACUGCCGGUCUUGCUGUCACAUAUAGAUGGAUCCGCGCUGCAUUCUCUAGUUGGUAAGGUAACGGCUUACCAAGGCAACGAUGCACAGCCGACCUGGGAGGGUGAUCGCCCACACUUGAACUGAGACACGGUCCAGAGUAGUACGGGAGGCAGCAGUAGGGAAUCUUCCGCAAUGGGCGAAAGCCUGACGGAGCAAAGCCGCGUGAGUUAGGAAGGUUUUCGGAGCUUAAAACUCUGUUAUGAGGUAAGAACAUAUGUGUAAGUAACUGUGCACAUCGUGACGGUACCUAAUCAGAAGGCCACGGCUAACUACGUG
RNAcentral lists this ribosomal RNA (497 nucleotides) under uncultured bacterium. Its description in RNAcentral is "partial 16S ribosomal RNA". It matches the Rfam family "Bacterial small subunit ribosomal RNA", at positions 28 to 507 of the family's 1533-position model. The record is from RNAcentral.